This is a long non-coding RNA of Tarenaya hassleriana, 2574 nucleotides long. RefSeq lists it as uncharacterized. Lineage: Eukaryota; Viridiplantae; Streptophyta; Magnoliopsida; Brassicales; Cleomaceae. The transcript is spliced from 4 exons. The record is from RefSeq and is a predicted model, not a curated record.
AAUUAGGGUCCCCAAUUUCGUUAAUAAAAAAAAUUACUGUCUUUUUUUCUUUUCCAAUCGAGGACUUCUCCGCAGGAUCUCUGUUUCUGGGAAGAUCAAGCUGAAUCUGUGUCGGCCAUGGAGAAAGACAAGGAAGCAUCAACUGAUCCUGGGACCGCCGAUGAUAACGAAGAGACAGAAUCUACAGAGAUCGUUCUCUUCCAAGUGUCCGAAUGCUGUGUUUACUUGGUAAGAUUUCUCUCUUUGCGUUUGCUUUGAGUUUUCUCGUUCAAAUGGGUAUGUUGAGUUAUUGCUGGAUUCUGUCUUUCCGCGAAAGCUCCAAACCUUUCUGGGCGGAUUUAUAGGAGGGUUUUUGGAUCGGGUAGUUGGUUUUAGUUCACUUAAUCUGGUAUUAGAAAACUGCGGUUUUUCCAUGGAGGAAAUUAUCUUAAUCUAUGAUUGUCAAGUUUUUUUGGGUUAACGGAGAACCAAAGAACAGACUAAUCUUGGGGUGGUGCCAGCCGCCGUUUGAUUUGGAAUAUACGUCUCCUUCUCAAAUUUGAGGGUUUAAACUCGAGUCGUGGUAGAAACUUUGCACCCAUUUUAGCGGUUGAACUAUCUAAGUUUGGGUCUGUGCUUGUCAAGUUCCUUUCCGGGUUCAUGAAAUUGGUGAAUUGAUGGAUGAUCCGGCAGAUAAGUUUUCAAGUAGCCUUCUGCUAUUAGAUCGCAGAGGCUCGUGGUGAAGCGUGUUUGGUUGUUUUGAAGGCCUAAGGUUCUGUCUUUAAGCAUGACUGGUCCAGUUGUGAAUUAAGUGAUGUCUUCUGAUCAGGGAUGUUUGGUCGUCUAGUGUUAUUAUACUUGCCCUUUUUCAGUCAAGAACUCCACUAACUCAUGUGUCAAACCAUGGUGGUGAUAACUCCAGAUGGAUGAACUGAGAUUACAGUAUCGUGUUCUUUGGUUAUGGUUCUUCUUGGACAAUAUUGGGUGGGUUCUCUUCUACUAACAAGUUAAGAUAAUCGUUGAAAUCGGUACUUUGCUGUUCAUUCACUUGAAGUCAUUGGAUGUUUUAACAUUAUAUCUUCUGUUAACCCUCCGAAAUUGAUAAUUCGAACCCAUUUUCCAGCGGAAUUGUCUUAGAGUAAUUUGCAAAGCCAGAAGAUGAUGGAGUUGGAGAUUUGGAAGUCAUGUUGAAUCUUGUGUUAUGUCUGAUAGGCAUUUCUUUGCCAUCUGUGCAGAUACCUCCAAGAAAAAGCGCAGAUUCUUACAGCUUAUUUCUUCUCUUCGUGAGAACAAUGUCUAAUGCGUAGGAUUCUCUUUCCCAAUGCUGUAGAUUCUUAAUGGAUUUUCCCAUACUGUAGCGGAUCUUCCUUUGUACUGAAACCCUUCAGAAUAGUGGACUGAAUGAUGAAAACCUGGAAGAAAAUCUUGGAAGCCAAUCCGACAUUGCGAGUAAUGAGUCCAUGUGUGGGGCUCUGCCGAUGUACACCGGCUCUCUUACAGGGCCGACGAGUGGGACGUGAAUAAAUGGGCAUGGGAAGGGGCACUGAAAGUGAUCAGCAACGGAGAAGAAUGCAUAAUCAGACUUGUAGAUAAAACCACCGGUGAACUCUACGCUCAGGUGUUCUUGAGAGAUGGCGAACCACAUCCCGUGGAACCUGUGAUCGACAAUAGCAGAUAUUUUGUUCUUCGCGUUGAAGAAGAAAUAGGUGGUCGUGUCGGGAUGCUUUUAUUGGAAUUGGGUUUCGAGAAAGAACAGAAGCUUACGACUUCCAAGCCGCACUUCAUGACCAUAUGAAGUAAUGUUCCGGUUCCGAAACCCCCAGCUGUUUCUUGUUUUGUAACAUUGACAUUCUUUCAAAUGAGCUUGUCUGCUUGAAAAAGCCGAGGCAACUAAAUGGAUCGACAUCCGGUCUAUACUAAUGUUACUUGAACAAGAAGAAAACAGCGGAAGAGAUGGAAGAACAGUUUCAGAGCACCUCAGCUGAUGACAGCUUAAAGGAGGGAGAGACCAUCGUUCUCCAACUCAAAAACCGUCAUAGAGAGGCAACGGGGACACGAAGUCGAAAAUACUCGAGAAGGGUCUGAGCAAUCUGGCCCGGGAAGAAAAGGGCAAGUCUAUAGGGACGGCUGUCUCUAUUAUUCAGCCGCCGCCACCUCCAGGACCCUUUCCCCACGGCGGCCACGACGGUUCAGAUCUCUCCGUCAAGUAAACAGCCAAAUCUCAGCCUCAAACGGUCAUCAGAAGAACAUAAUUCUCAGACAAAAGGACAAAAAGAGAGAGAACGGAAUCAAGCCGAGGAACAGAGAACAGAAGAUGCUCCAGAAGAUGACUUUGGGGACUUUCAAGCAGCAGCUGUGUAAUGAAAACAGACCCGAACCCACAAAAAAAAAUUAUAAUACUCAGCUACUAUACGUCAGAUAUGGGAGAGGGAGAUAAAGAUCCACGUAAGGUAGAAAAUAAUGGUGCCGGCUUCAAAUGGAUGAAGCAUGGGGAGUUAGAUAUGGUAGGGACAAUAUAUAUACACAUACACUGGUACGGAAAACAGGUUGUAUCAUCAUACAAUCAUCACAUUUAUUUUUGAAUUUUUGGUGUCA